This 528-nucleotide long non-coding RNA is filed under the name Medicago truncatula (barrel medic). RNAcentral's name for it is "lncRNA gene7354". Lineage: Eukaryota; Viridiplantae; Streptophyta; Magnoliopsida; Fabales; Fabaceae. The record is from RNAcentral.
UUCAACUUUCUCUCUCUUAAAAUAAAACUCUGUUGUGCGAUGGUUUCUCUCCCUCAAGACCACCUCUCUCCGGCGAGCGCUUACCGCCGGCGAGCGCCUACCUCUGGCUACAGCCUACUUCCGACGGGACAUGGGAGAUAUUUGAAUUGAUCAUCAAGUGUGACGAGCACUGUUGGGAGGCUUAUUUCUCAAAGUAGGUGUUGGUUUUUAGCUCUGGUGCGCUGCUGCCGGGACUGUCGGAGCUGUUGUUGAGGCAACUGUAUGCUCAGCUGGGUUUGGAGGUUACAACAUUGUUAUUGUUGUUUUGGUUUCAGCUACCUAUUUAACCCCUAAGUAUAGUUUUGCAUCAGGAUUAGUUUUGGUUCCGGGUGGUUUUUUCUUUGGAAUUAUGUUGUUCCGGUUGUUUGUUUGUUGGGAUUUUGGUGUUCCGCAUAUAUACGGCACCUGGUGUUAUUAGUUCCUUUUCGUUUUUUCCGUGAGGGGUACUGUUUUUAGUACAAACUCGACGAGAAUAAAUUUUUCCAAUUC